CUCUCCCAAGUUCAGGAAAUAGGGGUUCUAUCAGAUUAUCCUCAUUCAACCAAUUUACGCAUUCAGCACCAAGAGACCCGGGUCUCACCCUCUGAGAGCGAAAACCCAGAGUGGCCUCCACUUCCGCCACUCGCCACUCACUCCGCCUCAACCAAGCCAGCCACCGCAACGACCCUCCAGCUCCGCCCAUAUUUUCACCGGCGACAGCAGACACCACCGGAACCAUGGCCGGCCACAGCGUCAGGUUAUUUUCCCAAGCUUCCCUGCGCGUGAGGGGGAACACCCUCUCUCCUUCUACUCAUGCCGGCCUAGGGUUUGGGGUUUGCCUCUAACCGGAUACUGCCUACCACCGAUCCCAUCUCGCCACCUCAUCGCCGGCCACUAUCUCCCCAACGUCAGGGCCGCCAUACCACAGAGGCCGCCAACGUGAACGUUACUCCUCACGUGUCUUCUUCGCCCUUUCCGAAGUAGCAAACCAUCAACGGUGGCACCACCACGGCAACUCCCAAUCGUGAAUUACAAACAUUAAAUUGCCGGUGAAGAAGACCUUGUUACCUCCUCUGCUUUGCUUCUUUGUGGAUUGGAUAAGAAAGAACGAAAAGGGAGAAUGGUGUUGAGUGGUUGAAGGCGAUGGUGGACGAUACAGCAGCAGUUUUAGUUUUGGUUUAGUGCAGGUAUAAUAUGUGCUUGUGUGGGGGUCAGACGCAGUGGUUGGAAAUUAAUCUUGGUUCUUGGUGAUUGGGGCUGAACAGGGGAUUGAUGGCUGCGAGAAAUUGGUUCAGUUUGGUGAUGGUAUUGCUCUGUGUGUGUUUGGCAUUGGGCGUGUUGAUGAUACGAUGGGAAGGUUUGGGUAUGGUGUAGGAAGACGUGGUGAUGGUGGGGUAGGAUUGGGUUAUGGAUUUGAUAUAUGUUUGUUUUUGUUGUUCUUUUUAUAUGCAGGGGAGUUGUAAGUCAGUCAGGAUGAGCAUGAAGAGGGUGAACUCGUGUAUGGAGGUCAUUCGAAAAUGAAGAGGAAUCAUGGAAUGGGCCGAACACGUCUCAAAUUAAAGAUGAAUGAUGCAAUGUGUUUUACCCGUUGGACCAAGCAGAAGAGAUAAGUGAUAAUAUGCAUUUAGUAGAGCAAAUCGACAUACAAGACGAUAUGCCAUAUACUCUAUUUACAGGACUAUUCGAGUGAGUAAGGCGUAGGCAUGGUUGGCUUACCUCUCGAAGCUUCACCUGCGGCGACAUCCUCCCUUCCUCUGGCUGACCUUGAUUGUGUUUGUGAUUGAAUGGUGAGAAGGAGCCAUGAAGGAUGGAUUCCCGUUAGGAUGUUGGGAUGGAUUUUGUAUAAUGGGGGAUUGCUGAGUGGUUUUCUGUUGAGUGAAUAGAGAAUCGAGAGUGAAUGAUCUUCUCCUCUCUUUUUCAGGUGCUGGACCGAAUGGAGGAGAGGAGUCGAUUUCUCUCGUGUGUAAAAUGUUUCCCUCUCUUCACUUUUCCUUUGCACAAGGUUCAGCCCCUGCCACCCUGCCAUCUCGCCACUCUAUUUCCCUUUUUUUUGCUCCUCAUGGCCAGGCUAGACAUUUUCGCAUCUGGUAAUCACAGGCAGAGAGUGUAGGUGUUGUGUGCACGGCUCACCAAGAGAUUCCCAUCCAAAAACGGGAGAACGCGUAAACGAAAGGGAAGACUGAUUGCCUGGACCGAGUUCCAUUUUUAUGUUUUGUUUCUUUUUCCUUCUAUGUAUGGUUGCUACUGCUUAAGAAUUUUCAGCAAGAAAACACAGAGACCUUUUUCA
This is a long non-coding RNA of Vigna radiata var. radiata (mung bean), 1774 nucleotides long. RefSeq lists it as uncharacterized. Lineage: Eukaryota; Viridiplantae; Streptophyta; Magnoliopsida; Fabales; Fabaceae. The record is from RefSeq and is a predicted model, not a curated record. The transcript is spliced from 2 exons.